This 468-nucleotide ribosomal RNA is filed under the name uncultured bacterium. RNAcentral's name for it is "partial 16S ribosomal RNA". It matches the Rfam family "Bacterial small subunit ribosomal RNA", at positions 28 to 507 of the family's 1533-position model. The record is from RNAcentral.
GACGAACGCUGGCGGCGUGCUUAACACAUGCAAGUCGAACGGAAAGGCCCUGCUUUUGUGGGGUGCUCGAGUGGCGAACGGGUGAGUAACACGUGAGUAACCUGCCCUUGACUUUGGGAUAACUUCAGGAAACUGGGGCUAAUACCGGAUAGGAGCUCCUGCUGCAUGGUGGGGGUUGGAAAGUUUCGGCGGUUGGGGAUGGACUCGCGGCUUAUCAGCUUGUUGGUGGGGUAGUGGCUUACCAAGGCUUUGACGGGUAGCCGGCCUGAGAGGGUGACCGGCCACAUUGGGCCUGAGGUACGGACCAGACUCCUACGGGAGGCAGCAGUGGAGAAUCUUGCACAAUGGGCGGAAGCCUGAUGCAGCAACGCCGCGAGCGGGAUGCCGGCCUUCGGGUUGUAAACCGCUUUCGCCUGUGACGAAGCGUGAUUGACGGUAAUGGGUAAAGAAGCACCGGCUAACUACGUG